Molecule: ribosomal RNA, 459 nt
Filed under: uncultured bacterium
Lineage: Bacteria
Description: partial 16S ribosomal RNA
Rfam family: Bacterial small subunit ribosomal RNA
Source: RNAcentral
CCUACGGGAGGCAGCAGUGAGGAAUAUUGGUCAAUGGGCGCGAGCCUGAACCAGCCAAGUAGCGUGAAGGAUGACUGCCCUACGGGUUGUAAACUUCUUUUAUAAAGGAAUAAAGUGAGGCACGUGUGCCUUUUUGUAUGUACUUUAUGAAUAAGGAACGGCUAAUUCCGUGCCAGCAGACGCCGUAAUUCGGAGGAGGCGACCGUUAUCCGGAGUUAGGGGGUUUAAGGGGUGCGUAGGCGGAAGGCCAAGUCAGCGGUAAAAUCUCGGGGCUCAACCUCGCUCCGCCGUGGAAACUGGCGUUCUUGAGUGGGCGAGAAGUAUGCGGAAUGCGUGGUGUAGCGGUGAAAUGCAUAGAUAUCACGCAGAACUCCGAGUGCGAAGGCAGCAUACCGGCGCCCAACUGACGCUGAAGCACGAAAGCGUGGGUAUCGAACAGGAGUAGAUACCCGAGUAGUC